Mycena galopus ATCC 62051 is the source of this 99-nucleotide non-coding RNA. The record is from the annotation of a GenBank genome assembly. NCBI's taxonomy places the organism in Eukaryota, Fungi, Basidiomycota, Agaricomycetes, Agaricales, Mycenaceae.
GCCUUCAUGGAUCAUGGCGAUCACCUCGGUGUUGUUCCGCAGCCCAGCUUAAGGAUCACAAUUAUCGAGGAGGCGGGGGUUCAAAUCCUCCUGGAGGCG